UUUAUAUCCCUUUAAUGAAUUCAUGAAGUGAAUAUUGUAGUAUGUAAUUACAGGGUCUUAAUUUUCGUUUUCUAAAAUAUACAGGCUGGUACAUAGAAUACAAAAUUAAAAUGAUAAAGAGAGUAAGAUUUUAUACCUCCACUGACGGGCACUCAAUGACAGUGUUUUGUAGUAAAGUUUUAUGAGGUCAUUAGAAGGAAUUUUUAUUUCUUAUUUUACAAUUACAGUAUCAAUGUACAAGCACCAACAAAUUUAUGGGACUAAAAUUGCUACCCUGAUAUAAUACGAUAUAGUGGUUUAAAAAAUCCAUUCAUUUUAAAGAUUCAUGCCUUUACAUAUUAAAGAAUAAAGAGAAUUUGUCAGGAGUGCUGACUCAGCAAUAGUGCUUCGAUGUACUUGUCAACUAGAGAUAAGAGUCAUGUGACCAUAUGGUAUGGUGUUGCUGCCCAACACUCGAGUGGAAACUUGGGGACCAUCUUGACCUUGCUGCAAGGUCGACCCUUUCCAAUAAAUCAAGCUCCAUGAUGUAACAUUAUCAAUAUAUGAAGCACAAAAAUAAAAGUGUUUUUCUUUUAAUAUAAAUAGGUAACUUCCUUGUAUUCAAUGACAUUUUUUGCGUCAUAAAAUUGAGAAUGAAAUUGGGGAAUGUGCCAAAGGGACAAUAACCAAACUAAAAAGCAGAC
This 683-nucleotide long non-coding RNA is filed under the name Mytilus galloprovincialis (Mediterranean mussel). The record is from RNAcentral. Lineage: Eukaryota; Metazoa; Mollusca; Bivalvia; Mytilida; Mytilidae.